Molecule: RNA transcript, 1686 nt
Organism: Cyclopterus lumpus (lumpfish)
Lineage: Eukaryota; Metazoa; Chordata; Actinopteri; Perciformes; Cyclopteridae
Gene name: keratin, type I cytoskeletal 18-like
Exons: 7
Source: RefSeq, a predicted model, not a curated record
GCUGUGAUUGAGGGAGAAAAGCAGGAGUAUAAGUUUCCAACUUCCCGUUGCCGGCGUCACUUUCUAAGCCGGCCAGCAGCGGUGAGUCUCCACGUCUCCUUCUUUUCACUCCGGUGUCUAAACUUCUCCAAAAUGAGCUUCCAGAGAACCUCCAUGCAGAGCCGCUCCGCACCCAAGUACAGUUCCGCCAGCAUCUACGGCGGUGCUGGAGGAAUGGGCUCCCGCAUUUCCUCCGUUUCCACGUCUUCCCUGCGUUCUGGUGCCCCGAUGUCCUCCUCCUCCUCUUCUUCUUCCUACAAGCUGAGCAGCGGGAUGGGUGGUGGCAUGGGUUCAGGUUUUGGAGGUGCCGGUUUUGGAGGUGCCGGCUCUGGUGGCGGCGGCGGCGGCAGCAUCAUGGGCAACGAGAGGGGAGCCAUGCAGAACCUGAACGACCGCCUGGCCAACUACCUGGAGACGGUGAGGAACCUGGAGCAGGCCAACAAGGAGCUGGAGAUGAGGAUCGUGGAGGCGAUGGAGAAGGGAGGGCCCAACGCGAAAGACUACAGCAAGUAUCAGCCCAUCAUCGACGACCUCCGCAACCAGAUCUUCGAUAAGAUCGGGGAGAACGCUCGCUUUGUGCUCCAGAUCGACAACGCCCGCCUCGCUGCCGACGACUUCAAAGUAAAGUUCGACAAUGAGAUGGCGAUCCGCCAGUCUGUGGAGGCCGACAUCGGCGGGCUGAGGAAACUCAUCGAUGACACCAACAUGACCCGGAUAAACAUCGAGAGCGAGAUCGAGGCCGUCGGGGAGGAGCUGGCCUUCCUGAAGAAGAACCACGAGAACGAGGUGAUGGAGCUGAGGAACCAGAUCUCCCAGUCAGGCGUGCAAGUGGACAUCGACGCUCCCAAAGGUCAGGACCUGGCCCAGGUCAUGGAGGACGUGAGGGGCAACUAUGAGAAGAUGGCCGUGAAGAACGCAGAAGAUCUCAAGCGGUGGCAUGAAAAUCAGAUCGCGGAUGUGCAGGUGGAGGUGUCACAGAACACAGAAGCCCUCCAGGGAGCCCAAAUGGAGAGGAGUGACUCCACCAGACAGAUACAGACCCUGGAAAUCGAACUGGCAUCCCAACAGAGCUUAAAAGCCUCCCUAGAGGACACAUUACGCAACACAGAGCAGCGAAACAACAUGGAAAUGGAGAGGUACAACGGCAUCAUCAUCCGCCUGGAGGAGGAGCUGACCAACCUGCGUUCAAACAUCCAGAAUCAGACCCAGGAGUACGAGGCGCUGCUCAACAUGAAGAUGAAGCUGGAGGCCGAGAUCGGCACCUACAAGACCCUGAUGGACGGCGGAGACUUCAAGUAAGAAUUAGGUGGUGGAGGAAAAAAAACAGAUCCGGGCAAGAUGUUGAUGGUGUCGGAGGCUGCAGGACGCGCUGGACGAGCUGGCCGCAAUCUAAGUUGGAACAGAAGAAAACACAACUAUUCAUAAUGGAAAAAAUAAACCACAACUAUUCAUAAUGGAAAAAAUAAACCACAACUACUCAUAAUGGAAAAAAUAAAUACAUGCCGGUCCAAUUAUCUCGAGCCAAUUGUGAACCCAGAGCACAUUCAGUGUAAACCAUAAAUGAGUUCAGCAGUUCUGAAUAAAGGCGUUUGACCUCACUGCAGUGAAACAUUUGAAAAGCAACCAUUGCCCAAAUAAAAAUGAAUU